UGACAGGAACUGGACGGAUUAUAAGAAUGGUUUUGGUUCACCAGAACAGAAUGUCUGGAUUGGAAAUGACGUAAUCCAUAAAUUAACAAAAGAAAACACCUCAUCCCUGUAUGUGUCCAUCACUCUCCAGAAUGGUACAACUCUGUAUGAAAUGUACGAUCUAUUUUCUAUCUCCAAUGAAGCAGGGAAAUACAAACUCUUUCUUGCAGGACCUGCCACAGGGACACUAGGAGACAGUAUGUUGGACACCGGUUAUCGUAACUUCGAUCUGUCUGGGAUGUCCUUCACCACCCCGGACAGGGAUAACGACGGGUGG
This is a long non-coding RNA of Saccostrea cuccullata (small rock oyster), 316 nucleotides long. RefSeq lists it as uncharacterized. The transcript is spliced from 3 exons. The record is from RefSeq and is a predicted model, not a curated record. Lineage: Eukaryota; Metazoa; Mollusca; Bivalvia; Ostreida; Ostreidae.